This 76-nucleotide transfer RNA is filed under the name Heliorestis convoluta. RNAcentral's name for it is "tRNA-Lys". It matches the Rfam family "tRNA". From Rfam's summary of the family: Transfer RNA (tRNA) molecules are approximately 80 nucleotides in length. Lineage: Bacteria; Bacillati; Bacillota; Clostridia; Eubacteriales; Heliobacteriaceae. RNAcentral also lists the same sequence under 1 other name. The record is from RNAcentral.
GAUCCAUUAGCUCAGCUGGUAGAGCACCUGACUUUUAAUCAGGGUGUCGCUGGUUCGAGUCCAGCAUGGAUCACCA